AGCGUUCUAUUCCGUGCAGAGAUUUCGUCAGACAUCAACCUAUUAGGGCUGAUCAGACUUCCAAGAUAAGUGAAGUU
Molecule: microRNA precursor, 77 nt
Filed under: Schistosoma mansoni
Lineage: Eukaryota; Metazoa; Platyhelminthes; Trematoda; Strigeidida; Schistosomatidae
Description: mir-3492 microRNA precursor family
Rfam family: mir-3492 microRNA precursor family
Source: Rfam by way of RNAcentral